UGAAGAAAUUAGAAGGAGAGGCGAAGGAGAAUGAGAAUGCAGAGCCACACAAAAUAGAAUAGAGAGAGUGAAGGUGUGGGACAUCACAUAGCAAUAACAUGGCUUCUUCUACUCUGAGCCUCUCCACCACCUCCUACUCCUAUCUCCCCAACACCAAACACCGGUUUUCCUAUCCCAGAAUGAAGUUAGUCUCCUCCAACUCCAAGCACCGCGCUUUCUCCGUCUCAGCUUCUGCUUCACCUUCGCUUCAGGCUCUCAUCUUCGACUGCGACGGCGUCAUCCUCGAGUCUGAGCACCUGCAUCGCCAGGCCUACAACGAUGCCUUUCUUCACUUCAACGUUCGCUGCCCCUCUUCUUCUUCUCCGGCCCCACUCAACUGGGACAUCCAAUUCUAUGACGAACUCCAGAACCUCAUUGGUGGAGGCAAACCCAAAAUGCGAUGGUACUUUAAGGAACAUGGCUGGCCUUCCUCCACGUUGUUUGCCACGCCUCCAACUAAUGAUGAGGACCGGGCUAACUUGAUUGACACUCUUCAGGAUUGGAAGACUGAGAGAUACAAAGAUAUAAUCAAGUCGGGAACUGUGAAACCCAGACCUGGAGUUCUGAGAUUGAUGGAUGAGGCCAGAGAUGCUGGGAAAAAGCUAGCUGUUUGCUCUGCAGCGACUAAAAGUUCAGUUAUUCUCUGUCUUGAAAACCUUAUAGGACUUGAGCGCUUUCAAAGCCUUGAUUGCUUCCUUGCUGGUGAUGAUGUAAAGGAAAAGAAGCCUGACCCAUCAAUAUACCUGACAGCUUCCAAGAGUGAACAUAAUUUACAUGAGCAUUGCAGAAGCUGGGUAUAUCAGAGAAAGACUGCUUGGUGGUAGAGGAUAGUGUUAUUGGGUUACAGGUAGCAACAAAAGCAGGAAUGUCAUGCGUGGUUACCUACACACCUUCCACAGCAGAUCAGGAUUUCAGUGAAGCCAUAGCAAUCUACCCUGACUUGAGUAACGUAAGAUUGAAAGAUUUGGAAUUAGUACUUGAAAAUGUAGUAGCUGCUAAAUAGAAGAUUUGCUUGCCUUGGAAAUGUUGCAAUUUCAGCUGCUCUGCAGUGGUUUCUAUCAGGAAAAUUGAUUCAAAUAUUUGAUGUUUACCACAAGGUUAAGAUCUCUAUCUCUCAAAAAAAACAUUUUUUUUCAUAUAUUAAUUGACAGACGAUGUAUACAUGUAAGUUAAAAUGUGACACAAUUCUUUGCAAGGUGUUGUAAAGAUCAUAAUUUAUUGUUUGUAUUUUUGUCAUAUUAAAUUGGAAUGCUUGCCAGAGAUUUCCUUUGACAA
Molecule: non-coding RNA, 1314 nt
Organism: Cajanus cajan (pigeon pea)
Lineage: Eukaryota; Viridiplantae; Streptophyta; Magnoliopsida; Fabales; Fabaceae
Source: RefSeq, a predicted model, not a curated record